GACGUAGGGCGCGAGCGUUGUCCGGAUUUAUUGGGCGUAAAGAGCUCGUAGGCGGCUUGUCGCGUCGACUGUGAAAACCCGCGGCUCAACCGCGGCCUGCAGCCGAUACGGGCAGGCUAGAGUUCGGUAGGGGAGACUGGAAUUCCUGGUGUAGCGGUGAAAUGCGCAGAUAUCGAGAGGAACACCUGCGGCGAAGGCGGGUAGCUGGGCCGACACUGACGCUGAGGCGCGAAAGCCAGGGGAGCGAACGGG
Molecule: ribosomal RNA, 252 nt
Filed under: uncultured bacterium
Lineage: Bacteria
Description: partial 16S ribosomal RNA
Rfam family: Bacterial small subunit ribosomal RNA
Source: RNAcentral